Molecule: ribosomal RNA, 477 nt
Filed under: uncultured bacterium
Lineage: Bacteria
Description: partial 16S ribosomal RNA
Rfam family: Bacterial small subunit ribosomal RNA
Source: RNAcentral
GAUGAACGCUGGCGGCGUGCCUAACACAUGCAAGUCGAACGAAGCACCUUACCUGAUUCUUCGGAUGAAAGUUUGGUGACUGAGUGGCGGACGGGUGAGUAACGCGUGGGUAACCUGCCCUGUACAGGGGGAUAACAGCUGGAAACGGCUGCUAAUACCGCAUAAGCGCACGGGGAGACAUCUCCUUGUGUGAAAAACUCCGGUGGUACAGGAUGGGCCCGCGUCUGAUUAGCUGGUUGGCAGGGUAACGGCCUACCAAGGCAACGAUCAGUAGCCGGUCGGAGAGGAUGAACGGCAACAUUGGAACUGAGACACGGUCCAAACUCCUACGGGAGGGAGCAGUGGGGAAUAUUGCACAAUGGGGGAAAACCUGAUGCAGCAACGCCGCGUGAGUGAAGAAGUAUUUCGGUAUGUAAAGCUCUAUCAGCAGGGAAGAUAAUGACGGUACCUGACUAAGAAGCUCCGGCUAAAUACGUG